Molecule: ribosomal RNA, 388 nt
Filed under: uncultured bacterium
Lineage: Bacteria
Description: bacterial SSU rRNA
Rfam family: Bacterial small subunit ribosomal RNA
Source: RNAcentral
CACGGGUGCGUAACGCGUGGGAAUCUGCCCCUUGGUUCGGAAUAACGGCUGGAAACGGUCGCUAAUACCGGAUGACGACGUAAGUCCAAAGAUUUAUCGCCGAGGGAUGAGCCCGCGUAGGAUUAGCUAGUUGGUGUGGUAAAGGCGCACCAAGGCGACGAUCCUUAGCUGGUCUGAGAGGAUGAUCAGCCACACUGGGACUGAGGCACGGCCCAGACUCCUACGGGAGGCAGCAGUGGGGAAUAUUGGACAAUGGGCGAAAGCCUGAUCCAGCAAUGCCGCGUGAGUGAUGAAGGCCUUAGGGUUGUAAAGCUCUUUUACCCGGGAUGAUAAUGACAGUACCGGGAGAAUAAGCUCCGGCUAACUCCGUGCCAGCAGCCGCGGUAAU